RNAcentral lists this long non-coding RNA (1254 nucleotides) under Equus caballus (horse). Its description in RNAcentral is "lncRNA (ENSECAG00000031024.3)". Lineage: Eukaryota; Metazoa; Chordata; Mammalia; Perissodactyla; Equidae. The record is from RNAcentral.
UGAAGAUGCAAGCUUCCCUCUCUUCCUGUUUGGUAUAAUUGACAAUGUGUGAUAGGGCGUGAGAGCUCCCACUACAGGACUUCCCAGCUGCAAUUUACUCAAGGUUCUUUUAUUAAUUUCCACAAGUGGUAUAGCAAAAUAACCGCAACAAAAAAGAAAGCUCUAAAAGACCCCUGGCUCACCUGCUGGAUAAGUGAAAGCCUAUUAAUAAGAGACAGAGGCUUGCUUAUGUAAUGAAGUCCUGCAGAGAACAGCAAAGACACAUGAAAAUAAGAAUAAGUGAAUGAAGAGGAGGAAUGAUCCCACUGACCCAUAUCUUGAGACUUCUUGGGAGGUCAGACAUACAUGACACAGACUAUUGAAAGUCUAAGGAAAAAUCCAGAAGGAAUGUUCGAUAUAGGCAUAAAUAGUCAUCAAAGACAAGCUUUUACCUUAAAAAGGCUGGAGGCUCCGUUUUCCCCUGGCUUCAGGGAAGGAAGCUCUGGUAGAAGGGAAGAGAGCAGCAUCGGCAGUGUGCUGGAGCCCCCUCGUAGUGGCUGGCAAGAACGGAUUGUGAAAAUCUCAUUCAUUUUUCAAGUGUUGUCUCUAGCAGUGCGGCUGCUCCUCUGUGGCUCCAGCUCUGGGUGGAGAACUUUCCAGUGAGGUCCUGGCUCCCAACAGGGCUCAAAACAGGGCUGCCACAUAGUAGGUGACUAACAGAUGUUGAACACCUUUUCAAUCUCUCCAAAUGAUAGAAAAAUCAAAGAAAAAUCAAAGAAAAGUUUGCCGUAGCAAGGAAGACUUGAACUCAACACUGUGUACCAACUUAGGGUUGAAGGAACGGGCUUUGAAGCUAUGAAGAAGAGAAACUCAGUGUGUGCUGAAUUGAGCAAUGCGUGCCCUCCCGCUCUUGGUGACCUGGCACAAUCUAUUAUUCCAAUCUUACAGCUGAGGUCCAGAGUCCUACUCAAGAUUGAACAAAGUCAUACCGAAGUGAUGAACAAGCGUGAGGCCUUACUUCUCCAGACAGAACUGAAUCUCUCUCCUUUGGAGAUUGACUUUGAUUUACGAUGAGGUGCAUGGAGUGUGUCCUAAGGGCAUCAAGCCGUAAUUGCUCUCCUUCAAAGUGGACCGUUCUGCCCUCAUCCUUCAACUAAAGGGGAGCUGUAUAACACCCUGUGUUGAUUUGACUUCUGAUUUAUUUCUUUUGGAAGGAUUAUGUCUUUUGUUAAAACGUUCUUUUCACCGGGGAUGGAGAUUUAAGGAAUAAAGAGG